Molecule: transfer RNA, 88 nt
Filed under: Neolewinella aquimaris
Lineage: Bacteria; Pseudomonadati; Bacteroidota; Saprospiria; Saprospirales; Lewinellaceae
Description: Lewinella aquimaris tRNA-Ser
Rfam family: tRNA
About the family: Transfer RNA (tRNA) molecules are approximately 80 nucleotides in length. Their secondary structure includes four short double-helical elements and three loops (D, anti-codon, and T loops).
Source: RNAcentral
GGAGAAGUGCUCGAGUGGUUGAAGAGGUACGCCUGGAAAGCGUAUAUACGGUAUCCCCGUAUCGAGGGUUCGAAUCCCUUCUUCUCCG